ACCUGGGUGGCUCAGUCAGUUAAGCACCUGACUUCAGCUCAGGUCAUGAUCUCACGGUUUGUGAGUUCGAGUCCCACAUCAGGCU
Molecule: transfer RNA, 85 nt
Filed under: Felis catus (domestic cat)
Lineage: Eukaryota; Metazoa; Chordata; Mammalia; Carnivora; Felidae
Rfam family: tRNA
About the family: Transfer RNA (tRNA) molecules are approximately 80 nucleotides in length. Their secondary structure includes four short double-helical elements and three loops (D, anti-codon, and T loops). Further hydrogen bonds mediate the characteristic L-shaped molecular structure. tRNAs have two regions of fundamental functional importance: the anti-codon, which is responsible for specific mRNA codon recognition, and the 3' end, to which the tRNAs corresponding amino acid is attached (by aminoacyl-tRNA synthetases). tRNAs cope with the degeneracy of the genetic code in two manners: having more than one tRNA (with a specific anti-codon) for a particular amino acid; and 'wobble' base-pairing, i.e. permitting non-standard base-pairing at the 3rd anti-codon position.
Source: Rfam by way of RNAcentral